This 480-nucleotide ribosomal RNA is filed under the name Triticum aestivum (bread wheat). Its description in RNAcentral is "partial small subunit ribosomal RNA". Lineage: Eukaryota; Viridiplantae; Streptophyta; Magnoliopsida; Poales; Poaceae. The record is from RNAcentral.
AUGUCGAUCAAAUUCUUCCUGAACUUUUCGAACGCCCUUUUCGCCUUGUCAUCUGAUGUCCACUUUGGCUCGUCACGCUGCCCUAGGUACACCUCAUCGGAGGAGUGGCUGGACAGGACCUCGAUCAAGGAGACACCAAUGAUGCUCUGGAGCUGGCUCGUGAUGGUAUGGAUGAAGGCCUUGUCUGGAUUAGUCUCCGCCUCCUCGUAUUCUUUGGUGCCUGGCUCAGGCAUUGGCCGCCCGCUCACCGUCGGGCGGUUUGGGAGGUAGCCGGCAUAGGGGUACUGGCCAAAGUUGACAGCCGCGUGCAGUGCGGAGGCGAUCCAGAUAAUGGUGCUGCAUGUCCGGACGAGCUCUGUAAUGGUUGUCAUCUUGGGCCACCAGGGCUGGUCCGCGAUGUCGCCAUGGCCGACCUCACGCACCUCCUUCCACCAUGCCUGCAGCUCGACAUCGCCCUGAAGCACGUCGUCGCUGGGGUAG